UGUCCUAUGUGGUCAUAAAGAGCUGGUGGU
RNAcentral lists this non-coding RNA (30 nucleotides) under Homo sapiens (human). The record is from RNAcentral. Lineage: Eukaryota; Metazoa; Chordata; Mammalia; Primates; Hominidae.